RNAcentral lists this ribosomal RNA (265 nucleotides) under uncultured Staphylococcus sp. Its description in RNAcentral is "partial 16S ribosomal RNA". It matches the Rfam family "Bacterial small subunit ribosomal RNA", at positions 96 to 355 of the family's 1533-position model. Lineage: Bacteria; Bacillati; Bacillota; Bacilli; Caryophanales; Staphylococcaceae. The record is from RNAcentral.
CGGCGGACGGGUGAGUAACACGUGGAUAACCUACCUAUAAGACUGGGAUAACUUCGGGAAACCGGAGCUAAUACCGGAUAAUAUAUUGAACCGCAUGGUUCAAUAGUGAAAGACGGUUUUGCUGUCACUUAUAGAUGGAUCCGCGCCGCAUUAGCUAGUUGGUAAGGUAACGGCUUACCAAGGCAACGAUGCGUAGCCGACCUGAGAGGGUGAUCGGCCACACUGGAACUGAGACACGGUCCAGACUCCUACGGGGGCAGCAGUC